RNAcentral lists this non-coding RNA (31 nucleotides) under Mus musculus (house mouse). Lineage: Eukaryota; Metazoa; Chordata; Mammalia; Rodentia; Muridae. The record is from RNAcentral.
UAUGAAUUGGUGCUUUCUGAAGCCAUCUUGU